AGUGCGUCCUGCUGUGUGUGCCGUCAUGAAACAAACUCUCUGUUUACCUCUGCCUAAGAGUUCACAGGAUCACUUAAACAACAGCACCAAAAAAACCCUCAGCAAGCAAAACCAAAACAAAAAAAACCACCCACCCAAAAAAACCCUCUGCAUGAAACAUGUUACCCCCCUGCCUGACGCUCCCCGCCUGGGAGGACCCGUCUGCCCCAGCUCUUUUCUGCUUUUCGUGAGGAUCCCAGCCUCCUGCCCUCUGCCAGUGCUGUCGCCAUCGCAGCCGAGGAGCACGUGCCCUGUGGCACCCCGUAGCCACGACUGAAGCUGUGAAGUUGGUUUCCUACCAUGGAUGAGCAUCACCAUACGGGACAGACCAGCACCAUUGAGCGGGUCCCUUUCCUUUCGCAGCCAGACCUGCCAUGUGCAGGCUGGCGAGGGUGGAAGUUCCGUGCCAGCUGCCUUUUGUGUAUUUUAAGUUAAAUUUUAACCUUUUUUUUUUUUUUUUUUUUUUGCGACUGCGAAGGCUGCUCGUGGAUCUGGUGAAUUUGAAGCUAGCAGGCAAGCGCAAAAGUAUGCAUAUGCUUAAACACACAACCUUUACUUUAAACUGUUCCAGCCCUAAUUGCCAGGGCUGAAGUCCAGCCUCCCGGGGACUUAAAUUUCUCUUUUAACAGCUGAUGACUUCACCAGCGCCCGCAGCAGCCUUGCUCUGCCGGAGCAUCUGUGCCUGUUGAGGAGGCCAACUAGCUGCAAAUCCCGGCUGGGGUGGUGUCCUCUGGUCGGAUCUCUGUCCGUCUGGCUUCCCAUGCAUGGCUCCAGCCGCAGCAGUUAGCGUGCUCCUCCUCCUCCGCAGCUCUGCCUUCGCUUUUGCUUGUGCUCUGUCAGAGCUGAUCACCUCGUGCCAACAAAGACAGACAAAAUAAAGAUACAAUAAAUAUGAAAAUAAAGAGGCCGCUGGCCGGCAUACCAAAA
Molecule: long non-coding RNA, 966 nt
Organism: Oxyura jamaicensis (ruddy duck)
Lineage: Eukaryota; Metazoa; Chordata; Aves; Anseriformes; Anatidae
Exons: 2
Source: RefSeq, a predicted model, not a curated record